GAUGAACGCUGGCGGCGUGCCUAAUACAUGCAAGUCGAGCGAACAGACGAGGAUCUUGCUCCUCUGACGUUAGCGGCGGACGGGUGAGUAACACGUGGAUAACCUACCUAUAAGACUGGGAUAACUUCGGGAAACCGGAGCUAAUGCCGGAUAAUAUAUUGACCCGCAUGGUUCAAUAGGGAAAGACGGUUUUGCUGUAACUUAUGGAUUGAUCCGCGCCGCAGUAGCUAGUUGGUAGGGUAACGGCUUACCAAGGCACCGAUGCGUAGCCGGCCUGAGAGGGUGAUCGGCCAGACGGGAACUGAGACAGGGUCCAGACUCCUACGGGAGGCAGCAGUAGGGAAUCUUCCGCAAUGGGCGAGAGCCUGACGGAGCAACGCCGCGUGAGUGAGGAAGGUCGUCGUACCGUAAAUCUCUGUUUUUAGGGAAGAACAAAGGUGUAAGUAAUUAUGCGCGUUUGGACGGUACUGAAUCAGAAAGCCACGGCUACCUACUU
RNAcentral lists this ribosomal RNA (496 nucleotides) under uncultured bacterium. RNAcentral describes it as "partial 16S ribosomal RNA". It matches the Rfam family "Bacterial small subunit ribosomal RNA", at positions 28 to 506 of the family's 1533-position model. The record is from RNAcentral.